Molecule: long non-coding RNA, 743 nt
Organism: Coregonus clupeaformis (lake whitefish)
Lineage: Eukaryota; Metazoa; Chordata; Actinopteri; Salmoniformes; Salmonidae
Exons: 3
Source: RefSeq, a predicted model, not a curated record
GAGAGUGACUCCACUACGUACAAGUUCAGAUUUAUUACAGAUCAGACCGAAGGGAUCCUGGAGUCACUUUGUCUGUUACAGACCUGCAGGUGAAGGUGACCACUACAUGGUGGUCAACGACACUGACCUGUAGCACCACCUGUACUCUGACUGACAACCCCAACCCCACCUACAUCUAGUACAGGAACAGUAAGAUUGUACAAGAGGACUCCUCCCUCUCAUACUCAGUCUACUUAAAAACUGAAGACAGCUUCUACUGUGCUGUAAAAGGCAUCAAUUCUCCUGCAGUGUAUGUUGGGGGUCACAGUUAUUUCCACGUGACUUACACCCAUCAGAGUAUCUGUACCUUGAAGGGGUCACCUGCUCUUAUACAUAUCCCAGUGGUCAUACAGUCUCCGAAACAAACUGGUAUACAAAAGGAAAACUUGAUGAGGCGCCACAAAUCCUGAGCCCGGGAUAUGGAGGUCGUGUGGAGUCCCUGAGAAAUAUGCAGAGUGACUCCACCCUGAGAAUCACAGACCUGAGAGAGGAGGAUUCAGCUGAGUAUAAGUUAAGAGUCAUAACAGAUCAGACAAACUGGGAGCCCACCUUCCCUGGAACAUCUCAGACUGUCACAGGUAACACUGCAUGUCACAUCUUAUCAAUACUGCAAACUAUUACUUCAUGAUAUGUGUUUUAAUCCCCUUUCAUUUAGGUCUGCAGGUGAAGGUGACUCCUGCCACUGUGACAGAGGGACAGAAGGU